RNAcentral lists this ribosomal RNA (390 nucleotides) under uncultured bacterium. RNAcentral's name for it is "bacterial SSU rRNA". It matches the Rfam family "Bacterial small subunit ribosomal RNA", at positions 355 to 770 of the family's 1533-position model. The record is from RNAcentral.
UCGAGAAUCAUUCGCAAUGGGCGAAAGCCUGACGGUGCGACGCCGCGUGGAGGAUGAAGGCCCUAGGGUCGUAAACUCCUGUCAUCAGGGAGUUAGUACCUGAAGAGGAAGGGACGGCAAACUUCGUGCCAGCAGCCGCGGUAAUACGAAGGUCCCAAGCGUUGUUCGGAUUUACUGGGCGUAAAGAGUCUGUAGGCGGUGGGGUAAGUCAGAUGUGAAAUCCCGGGGCUCAACCCGGAACUGCAUCCGAUACUGCCUCACUUGAGGGUUGGAGGGGAGUCUGGAAUUCUCGGUGUAGCAGUGAAAUGCGUAGAUAUCGAGAGGAACACUAGUGGCGAAGGCGAGACUCUGGACAACACCUGACGCUGAGAGACGAAGGCCAGGGGAGCG